AAAACAUAACUCAGCAGCUCUGACUCUGGAGGGGAGUAGAGAUACACCUCAUCAACAGAAAUGCUUUUGAUUUUAAUCAUGUUUUCUGUGUUUGUAAUAAACUAAACCAAAACAUGGAAUGAAGUGUUUCCAAAGCAGGGAUGUCUGAAUCCUUAUUUUAUCUUCAGGUGUUGCAGUCCUGGCUCAGCCUGAACGUUGUUGGUUUGCUCGUGUGGCAUUAAGUUGGUCACAGACUUUCUGUAAGCCUCCUUUGAUCGUGUUUCUUUCCAUGCCAGUUUCCCAAUAUGCAGAAAGGUGGGUUUCACUUUGCUGAAGACUCCUCUCACAGACAUCCAUCCUGUAUUACAAUAUCAUCAUCGAACUGGUGCAAGAUUGAAACAUCCCCAUUGUGAAGUCAGGUCUCAACUCUAGCAGACAUUGUAGCUGAGGUUGGACAGCUGAAUCAGGGUGGGUGUAAUUCCCAGGCUCCCAGGAGUCCACAGCAGGAUUUGUAUCAUCCAGUAUACUACAAAAACACAGUUUGGCAGAUGCCCACAUUUGCUGACACAAGAAGGUGCCCCAGGAAUCAAGAGGACAAGUGACGAUAUAUUUGAUGCAGACACCAAGGAAGACCACGCAGUCAUCCACAGAGCCUUCAGCCCCCCAGCAUCUCAUGGCCAUCUCAGGAGCAGGGGCUGGCUGCGCUUUUCACAGCAAGGGGCAGGAUCCUGCCCUGGGUGCAUGGGACCAGACCUCCACUGGGAACAAAAUGAAGGUCUGCCGGAAUUAAUCCUGGGCUUCGUUAUCACUCCUGCACAUCACUGCGCUUUGUGGCUGGCCUGGGCCAGCUAACUGCGCCGCAAAAGUGUGUGAAGAAAGAUGGUAUCAGCCUCUAUCUGUCUAAGCCAGAAACAGGCAAUACCAGAAAAGCCUGUCUUGUCCAAUUUCCAGUUCAGCUUUGCAGACUCGAGAAGUGCAGAUAGUUUGGACAUGCUUUAGAUAAGAAGCUGAAUAUCUGGGCGUUUUCCUGAGCACAGAACGCUACGCUUCAUACAGUUUACUAAAUUGUGUCACUAAAUUUUUAUCCUUCCUGGUAAUAGACUUUUUUUUUUUUUUUUUUUCCUUCAGUGUUUCUUUUCCCUCCCUCCCAGCCACAUUGUUGGUAAAUGCACAAAUAUAUGCAUACAACCAUCAGCGUACACACUCUGGUUGCCUUAGUACCAAACUGUGCAUCUUUGCUCAGUGCGCUCAGCUUCUUCAGAAACAAAACUGUGAAGUCAAGAGCAGGGGUGCAGCUGCUCACAUGCUCACAAAGCUCCGGGCCCAAUGUGAGAAUUCACUUUUAAACACAUGAUGAAAAAACAGCUCUUGCCUCCUUGUCUUUGUAGAAAAAUCC
This 1375-nucleotide long non-coding RNA is filed under the name Anas platyrhynchos platyrhynchos (common mallard). RNAcentral's name for it is "lncRNA (ENSAPLG00000023125.1)". Lineage: Eukaryota; Metazoa; Chordata; Aves; Anseriformes; Anatidae. The record is from RNAcentral.